This 70-nucleotide transfer RNA is filed under the name Cynoglossus trigrammus. RNAcentral describes it as "tRNA-Asp". Lineage: Eukaryota; Metazoa; Chordata; Actinopteri; Pleuronectiformes; Cynoglossidae. The record is from RNAcentral.
AAGACUCUAGUAAUAACUAUUACCCUAUCUUGUCGAGAUAGUAUUGUAAGUGAAAAUCUUACGAGCCUUU